UAACCUUGUUCAGGGCAGCCUGUCCUCACA
This 30-nucleotide non-coding RNA is filed under the name Mus musculus (house mouse). The record is from RNAcentral. Lineage: Eukaryota; Metazoa; Chordata; Mammalia; Rodentia; Muridae.